Molecule: long non-coding RNA, 3529 nt
Filed under: Gallus gallus (chicken)
Lineage: Eukaryota; Metazoa; Chordata; Aves; Galliformes; Phasianidae
Source: RNAcentral
GGGGCACAACCAGGCAGGGCCGAACGCUGUACACACAGUGCUGAGGAGGGCGGCUCUUUCUGCUCUCAAAUCGUGCUCCUUUUGUUGCCUUUCAACCAAAUAAAGGGAGAGAGUCGUUUUUAAAAGGCCUGAAAAGUCAACGGUUACAUUAAAAAAAAAAACCCCACUUAAAAAACCAAAGUGAUGGCGGUUUGGUCCCAACAAGUCAACACUGAGAUCUUUAUUCACAUGCUCCAUUGCUUCUUACUUCAAGAACCAAAAAUAGUUUCCAAAAUGAUCAUUUAAUUGAUGUUCCUACACAAAGGCCUAAAAGGAGAGUACGGAUUUAAAAAAAAAAAACAAACUGAAUACACAACGGGGGAGAAAAAGGGGGAAGGGGUGAGGAAACCCCGAGCUGCACUACUGCAAAUUAUAAAAGAGAAACAAAAACAUCAACUAAAGGUGGGCACAAACCCCAUUCCACGGCGCCUUCAAAGCCCGUUACCAAACAAACCCCCCAACCAAACUGAAGAACAACCAUUCUGUAAGGGCACGGACAGAACAGCCGGAGCCUCACCCAGCACUCGACCUCAUUCAGUCCACAAUGUCUUUGGGAAGAUGCGCUCCGUGAGCGGACCCAAGCAGAAAUGAUGCGUCAGUUCUCACCCCCGGGGAGGGGGGCAGAGCUCUGACAGCGCAGGGAACGUCGGGGUUAUGUCAGAGCCCUUCGAGGGGCUCCGCUCCGGGGGCCGCCCUGAGGCCCGGCACGGUGAGUGCCGCUCCCGGCACCGCGGCUAUUCGGCCGCCGACUGCAGGCUGUCUUUGUCCUCUCUGUUCUCCGUCCCGCUCUCAUCGUCUUCGAUUUCUCCUUCUUCGCCGCUGAAUUUGUCGUGAGCCCAUUUGGGGCUGGUGCUCGACUUCCUGAACAUGAAACGCCCUCGGCCUCGGGGGAAGGCACCGCGGCCACGGCCUCUGCUCACCCACUUCUCCGCGCCUUCGCCCUCGCGGUCAUCGUGCAGGUAGUACUUCUUGCUCUUCGGUGUGUACUCAGGAUCCCAAUCCUCUUCCCUGCUUCUCUUCUGGAAGUCAUUGUUGCCACCACUGUUGCUGUUAUUGUUGCCUGAAAAGUUGCCUCGGCCCCAUCCUCUCCCCCUCGCUCUGAAUUGAAAGGUCCCUCGGGCUCUUCCUCUCUCAUUUGGACCCGUGAACUCCUUAGUUCCAAGUCGGGACUUGUCAAAGCCUGUGGUGCUUUCCUCCCUCUCCUCAGUCUCCUCGGGAUACUCCUCUGCUUUCACUGAAUGAGAGGACCGUGAGGACGACGAGCUGGAUCUGGACCUCUCACGCACCCUUCGGUGUUUCUUUUUCUUUGAGCUUUUGUGACUUUUCUCCGUUUUCUCAGCUGAUCUUUCCCUUGAGUGACUCGAAUCUCUGGACUCCACCGACUCUCUGGAUUUAUCACGUUUAAGAUCUCUUUCCUUAUGUUUUUUACGGCGCUCGAUAUCAAGGCGCAGGUCAACAGGGUCAUCCUUGUAUUUCCCUUCAGCCUACAAGGGCAGGGAUGGGGAGAGUUUAACACACAGACCCACAGCACCCCCAGUUCAGCACCAUUACUUUACUACUGACUGCACAAACUUGUGGAGAGCAGGGGUUUAUCUGAAUGCUACUCAAUGCUCCAUUUUAAGAUGCAAAACGAUGCACUAUCAAACUCAGUUUUUAUUUGUCAGACUUCAAUCUUCCUACUUUUUUUUUUAAAAAAAAAAAACUUUUACCCUCUUUAAAACAGCAUUAGAAUAGCCUGGUCAUAGGGGAACACUGACACUUAUUGUACACCACAGCCAUCGAGAUGAGAGCAACUUGGAAACCCAAUCCGUGUGAGUGUGUGUGGCAGAACUGCAGCGUGCCAGGAAUGCUGGAAGGCCUGGGGACACCUGUCACAGGGCAGCAGCAUCCAGCAGGGCAGAAGGGCUCUACAAACUUAAGGAGAAGCAAAAGCUGUUUGCCAGCUGGAGACACCUGGGGCAGCAAUCCUUCAGUGAGCGUGCUAAGAGAUGGAGGCCACUGGAAAUGCAGUGAUCAAGGCUGUUUACUUGGAAGAAUCCCACUGAUGUGUUGUCUUUAAUACCCCUGUCAAGAAGGUUUGCUCUGUGGCAGAUACCACCCAGAGCAUGGCUUUCCCUUGUCUAGGGGCACCACAUGGAAGGUGCCAAAAAUCCAUCCAGCUCUACAAAAAGCACCCAGCUCGUGGUCUCUGUGUGUCUGUUAACACAGUCAGCUACACAAUCUGGGAAUGCUUGCUCGAGUUCAACUGAAAUGGCUGCCUAAACGAGCAGCAGGCUGCAAUGGUUUCUUUAGGAAAGGUGUAGCUGCGUUACCUGGGGGUGCUCUGAGAGCUGCAGCACUUGGAUGAGGUUCUGCUCUGAGUGCACAACGUGAGCAGCAAACUGACAGUGCUGUGGUUUUGCCAAACGUUUACCCGAGCAGCAGUGCUUUGGUGGCAACCUGCACACCACGUCGCUAGCAACAACACAGCCCCCACAGCAACUGCUGCUCCAUUUACACAGCACUAAUCUCGGGAACUGUAUGACUUGAUACACAACAUCAAUCAGAUUAAUCGCCCUUGAAUUAAAUACAAAAGGAUUAGUAAUUCUCUAGCUAUUAAACUUUUUACUUACAUGAGUUUCUAAACACUUUUUUUGUUUAAAUAAAAAUGUCAAAUAACGCAGGAGUGGGAGCAGGCCUUUUGGUUGGGUUUUUUUGCUCUUCUACUUUCCCCAGGCAAAGAGCUUUAAUUUCUACUCUGAGAAUACAACUGCUCCCAACACGGUGGAUGGCAGAUAAGUGACAAAAUCAGCAGCAGCUCCCUUAUGUGGUGCAGCAAACACCUAUUGGGUUUGUGAGGGCACGUCUGUUUCACGGAAGGCUGGCGAGCUGUUUGGAAACCACGUUUAUAAUACACUCUGCCAAGCUGAUGCUCAGAGUUCAGGCCCAUCAAAUCCAUCUCACCAUCGUCCAUGUCAAGCCACAAGUGUUUGGAAAAAAUCGAAAACAAAUAUGAAACAAGUAAGGUUUCAGCACGACUGUUCAAAAUCUCUUCAAUGUAAAUAUGUACGAAGGUGAAUACACAAAGGUUAAAAUCCCAAACAUUGUGUUAAGCCAUUUCUAAGUGGUUUACGGUAAGCAUCAUGGCUUAACAUGAGCUACAGCUAACACACUCCAUUCCCAAAGGUCUGCUCUACGACAACAGGUGCUGAAUGUUAACUAACAGCAAUCAACAGAAACGGUACAGCAAGUUGUUAGAACAAAUUUUAUCACCCUCUUAAUAGUGUAUCUUGUUUAGCUAAGUAUUUAGUUUUACUCUCCUCUUUUUGACAUGCAUGUCUUUCUGAAAACAUGGUUGGCAAUAUCGCAUGUAUACAAUUGAUUUAAUAAUACUUACAAGCAGACAAAUAUCACAAAAAGUCUCUUCUCUCAUCAUGGGCACUUGUUCCAAAAAUCCUCUCAUUUUUCUCAAGCUCACCUCAAUUGACUUUGGGGUCAUUUACCAUAGUCU